This 301-nucleotide ribosomal RNA is filed under the name uncultured bacterium. RNAcentral describes it as "partial 16S ribosomal RNA". It matches the Rfam family "Bacterial small subunit ribosomal RNA", at positions 509 to 807 of the family's 1533-position model. The record is from RNAcentral.
CAGUAGCCGCGGGAAUACAGAGGGUGCGAGCGUUAAUCGGAUUUACUGGGCGUAAAGCGUGCGUAGGCGGCUUCUUAAGUCGGAUGUGAAAUCCCUGAGCUUAACUUAGGAAUUGCAUUCGAUACUGGGAAGCUAGAGUAUGGGAGAGGAUGGUAGAAUUCCAGGUGUAGCGGUGAAAUGCGUAGAGAUCUGGAGGAAUACCGGUGGCGAAGGCGGCCCCCUGGACAAAGACUGACGCUGAGGUACGAAAGCAUGGGGAGCAAACAGGAUUAGAUACCCCUGUAGUCCCUGUCUCUUAUAC